This 233-nucleotide ribosomal RNA is filed under the name uncultured bacterium. Its description in RNAcentral is "partial 16S ribosomal RNA". It matches the Rfam family "Bacterial small subunit ribosomal RNA", at positions 100 to 334 of the family's 1533-position model. The record is from RNAcentral.
CGGGACGGGUGAGUAAUGUCUGGGAAACUGCCUGAUGGAGGGGGGUAACUACUGGAAACGGUAGCUAAUACCGCAUAACGCCGCAAGACCAAAGAGGGGGACCUUCGGGCCUCUUGCCAUCGGAUGUGCCCAGAUGGGAUUAGCUAGUAGGUGGGGUAACGGCUCACCUAGGCGACGAUCCCUAGCUGGUCUGAGAGGAUGACCAGCCACACUGGAACUGAGACACGGUCCAG